GAUCAUGGCUCAGGAUGAACGCUAGCUACAGGCUUAACACAUGCAAGUCGAGGGGCAGCGGGAUUGAAGCUUGCUUCAAUUGCCGGCGACCGGCGCACGGGUGAGUAACGCGUAUCCAACCUUCCGUACACUCAGGGAUAGCCUUUCGAAGAAAGAAUUAAUACCUGAUGGUAUGUAUGAGAUUGCAUGAUAUCAUCAUUAAAGAUUAUCGUGUACGAUGGGUAG
This 225-nucleotide ribosomal RNA is filed under the name uncultured bacterium. Its description in RNAcentral is "partial 16S ribosomal RNA". It matches the Rfam family "Bacterial small subunit ribosomal RNA", at positions 15 to 232 of the family's 1533-position model. The record is from RNAcentral.